GACGAACGCGGCGGCGUGCCUAAUACAUGCAAGUCGAACGCUUCUUUCCUCCCGAGUGCUUGCACUCAUUUGGAAAGAGGAGUGGCGGACGGGUGAGUAACACGUGGGUAACCUACCCAUCAGAGGGGGAUAACACUUGGAAACAGGUGCUAAUACCGCAUAACAGUUUAUGCCGCAUGGCAUAAGAGUGAAAGGCGCUUUCGGGUGUCACUGAUGGAUGGACCCGCGGUGCAUUAGCUAGUUGGUGAGGUAACGGCUCACCAAGGCCACGAUGCAUAGCCGACCUGAGAGGGUGAUCGGCCACACUGGGACUGAGACACGGCCCAGACUCCUACGGGAGGCAGCAGUAGGGAAUCUUCGGCAAUGGACGAAAGUCUGACCGAGCAACGCCGCGUGAGUGAAGAAGGUUUUCGGAU
This 416-nucleotide ribosomal RNA is filed under the name Enterococcus faecalis. Its description in RNAcentral is "bacterial SSU rRNA". It matches the Rfam family "Bacterial small subunit ribosomal RNA", at positions 28 to 423 of the family's 1533-position model. The record is from RNAcentral. Lineage: Bacteria; Bacillati; Bacillota; Bacilli; Lactobacillales; Enterococcaceae.